Molecule: ribosomal RNA, 402 nt
Filed under: uncultured Hydrogenophaga sp.
Lineage: Bacteria; Pseudomonadati; Pseudomonadota; Betaproteobacteria; Burkholderiales; Comamonadaceae
Description: bacterial SSU rRNA
Rfam family: Bacterial small subunit ribosomal RNA
Source: RNAcentral
CUCAGAUUGAACGCUGGCGGCAUGCUUUACACAUGCAAGUCGAACGGUAACAGGCCGCAAGGUGCUGACGAGUGGCGAACGGGUGAGUAAUGCAUCGGAACGUGCCCAGUCGUGGGGGAUAACGCAGCGAAAGCUGCGCUAAUACCGCAUACGAUCUAAGGAUGAAAGCGGGGGACCGUAAGGCCUCGCGCGAUUGGAGCGGCCGAUGUCAGAUUAGGUAGUUGGUGGGGUAAAGGCCUACCAAGCCAACGAUCUGUAGCUGGUCUGAGAGGACGAUCAGCCACACUGGAACUGAGACACGGUCCAGACUCCUACGGGAGGCAGCAGUGGGGAAUUUUGGACAAUGGGCGCAAGCCUGAUCCAGCAAUGCCGCGUGCAGGAAGAAGGCCUUCGGGUUGUAAA